GGGGGGGGGUUAUAAUAUGUGAGUUAAAUUUGCUGCAGGCAGUCCACAUCUUGGAAGAAAAUAACAACCUAAACUGCCUGUGGCAGUUCUGACAUGUAUGACCUGUGUUUAUUCAGCAGGUCUCUUAGUUCUCACUGAUCUUAGCAGUGAUCUGGUCUGAGUGCUUACAGGGUCAGAUUUCGAAUGCAUUAGUUGUUCUAUAACACUACUACAUGAUAUGCAAAGCCUUUUUUUUUUUUUUUUUUUUUUCUAUAGGAAACAAAUUUUCUGUUUGCAGUCAGUGCUGGGCUGAUGUAAAUCUGGUUCCAUUAAUUACAAAACCCACGUAUUUGGCUCGUAAUAUUCUCCAGAGGAGAAAACUAUAACCAUGGAUGUUAAAUACAUUUUUACUCAUAUUUGACUUCACUAAAUACCUUUUUAUAACAGUGAGACAAUUCUAUAUUUCCUUUUAAUUUUUGAAUGCAUUGAAGUUGCUCCUUGGGCAGAUUUCUGUGUUACCCACUGACUGGGACUGUUCCCUUACAGUCAGCAUCAAACUCUGAAAACAGGGAGACUGACUCCUUGGCAUGACACAAAAUGCUAGAGCAUGUGAUGCCUCAGGAGAAUGUCAUGAUCUAAUCUAUGUGUGUAUGUGUGUCUCUCUCCCCCUCUCCACCUUCUCCGUCCCUAAAAGCUCCCUCUUUGCUUCUACUGUGAAGCUUACAGCAUAUUAGGAGACGGUCAGAGAUGAAUGGCUGCAGCUUCAGCAGGGGGUGUACAGUCUGUGCAGAGAAUGUGGCAGGCAGCCAGGCUGGGGCUGCUUCUUUCUUCUCUGUGUGCACAAGGGACCCCAAGAUUGCCAGAUGAAGUCGCUCAGGACUUUCCAUCGGGAGCUCAGGUGGACAAGUGUGGGAUGUGGGAGGACUUCCAUCAGGGGUCUCGGUGAGGGCAGGGGAAGAGGUGUUUGGAUCAAAGAGGACAGAGCACCUGCAGCAGCCAGAAUGUUGGGGGGGGGGGGGGGGGGGGAGAGCCUCUGGUAUUGUGUAGAAGGGUAAAGCACUGAGGAGGAAAGGGAAGCUGGGGCUGGAAGAAGGAGAAGAGCUAGGUGAGGCCAGUUGCACUAAGUUGAUAUAGUAUGAAUGUAUAAAGAAGGAGUGAGCAAGGAAGAUCCAGGAUCCUAUCCAGUAGAAGUCAGCACUGCAGAAGGGUGAAUGCAACAUACGUUAGGUAUAGCUGAGCUAGCUUGUGCAGUGGCAACGGUGAAAAUGCAGCUGUAGAGAUUUCCAUGGGAGCUGUACUAACUUGACAGGGUCCUGAAAAUUUCCUUGGACAGGUAACCUGCACUGUAACACAUGCCCUGACUCCAGCUGGUGUCUGAGCAAGUGAGAUUAAAACUAGUUUACAUAUCAGUUUAUGAGGUACAGAGAUAUCUCUGAGUGAAGAACAGAGAUACCCUGAGGAUUAUCAUGUAAUAAAUUUCCUGUUUUGACUUGUGCUGCUUCAUAAUAUGGUCCAAAAAUAGGGAAUCCACUUACCUGCCCCUACAUAAUUUUUGCACAUAUCUGAACCAGAAAUUUGUGAAUAGUAAUGUGGAACUUUUAACUUUCACAGGGAUAGAAUCCCACAUAACUGCUGAUACUCUUCUGCCACGUCACCUUUGUGAUGUGGAGGAAAAGAUGCAUAGUUACGUUAUUCAGAACAGGGCCCUUCAACUAUCACUGAACAUAAAUGCUAUACAAAAAUAGUGUUUGCAGGAUGAAUAAUGUGCACUUGUUUAUGUUUUAUGUCUUGUAACAGAUGCCUGGGAUAAGUCAUAAGUUCCUAAAUAUUUAUAUUAAUUAACGUGGGACUUUACGUAAUAAAACAAAGAUCCUGUACCUCUGAAUGACCAAAUAGGAAUACCGGUAUUUUAUCUAAUAAGGUGUUCAGCAUCUUUUCAGCCAAAGGCUUCAAAAAUGACCUUAAUGCUUUUUCUCUUUUUCUGCUCUUUUUGCAUAAGGGAGUAAAGAUUACCAAAGAAGGCUUUGCUUUUAUUAUCUGAAAAGAAAACCAUCGACCUGACUUAUUUUUUCUAAGUUAAUUUGUACUGCACUGCAUUCACACAUUGCAAUUUUAAACGAGGAAAAAGUAUUUUACUUUGGUCCUUCAGUGGUCAGUACUUUGGGUGAAAUGUUUCCUUAAAGACAUAUUUAUGUUUAAUAAUGUGAACAUCCACAGCACUGAACACACUCAUUAGUGUCUAAUGCUGGGUAUGCUGAUGUUUAUUUGUAAUACUUGUCUCCAGGUAGCAGAUAUUAAGUUGUUUAGCAUUUACAAACAUCCGAAUUUGAAACUGAGUGAUUUCUUGUCUGCGGUGAUCAUAGAAGUCUAGGUUUUAUAAUAUAUUUACAUGUUGACUUGAUGCCACAAGUGCCCUUGCUUUUAGAUACAUAUUUUUCUGAAGUUCUUAGUUCAGAUCAGAAUGCAGCAUGGUUUAUGAGGUGUGAGUAACUGUACCUUGCAUGGAUUACCUGUGCCAACAUGGAUAAAACAGUCUAGUAAUAAAAUGAAUGUACAAAUACAUUUAAAGCUUUACGAUUCGGACAUAUUUGUUAAUAUGGCAUGUGAACAGCUGACAGCAUACACAAGCUUGUAUUCUCUACUUCGAACCUGAAAAUAAAAUUAAAAGCAUUGGUUUCAACCUCACUGCGUAUCAGUCUUGAAUGUUUCAUUAACUGAAUUGUGCUGUUUU
RNAcentral lists this long non-coding RNA (2710 nucleotides) under Gallus gallus (chicken). RNAcentral's name for it is "lncRNA (ENSGALG00010011196.1)". The record is from RNAcentral. Lineage: Eukaryota; Metazoa; Chordata; Aves; Galliformes; Phasianidae.